Molecule: small nucleolar RNA, 86 nt
Organism: Cynara cardunculus var. scolymus (artichoke)
Lineage: Eukaryota; Viridiplantae; Streptophyta; Magnoliopsida; Asterales; Asteraceae
Product: small nucleolar RNA snoR114
Exons: 1
Source: RefSeq, a predicted model, not a curated record
GAGCUGUGAUGACACGCCUAGCUGAUGGUGGGUCCAUCAGAUUAGCUUGAUUUUCAAGAUUAUACAAAACUGGCCCUUCUGAGCUC